GAUGUUCAAGGUAUUUGGCUCACAUUUAUCAAACGGCAUAUUGAAAAUGAUUGUGGAAUCCUUUUUAUCAAAGUUGCUGAACCAUAAUGGAAAAGUGUUUUAUGAAGUUACUGGUAUGAUAGAAGAGGUAAAAUACUUCUGUUUCAAUGUUUCUCCCUCAUUAUCAGAAGUAAUAUUGUUUCUCCCAGAAUAACACUUAGAACAUAACACUAGUUAUUGUACUUGUAACGGUCUGUUUAUUUUACAUUAACCUAUUAGAACUGAAUAAAUUUGACACCAAAUUUUCUCUAAUCUUUGCAUUGUAGGCAUAUCCCAAUCAUAACAAGUUCAUCAACAAAAAAAUUGAAAUGUUUGACGAAAUGUCUCUUGUGUGUGGAAAUGAUCGGGUUAGGGGAGAUUGUGCUAAAUCGUUUGAAGAUAUAGAUUUUGAUAGUUUUUCUGAGAAAGAUAAUGAUAAUGACCUUGAAGGACCAUCCAUCGAAAAGGAUGUGCAAGUAACCGAAGCUUCUCAAAUCAAG
Molecule: long non-coding RNA, 518 nt
Filed under: Capsicum annuum
Lineage: Eukaryota; Viridiplantae; Streptophyta; Magnoliopsida; Solanales; Solanaceae
Description: long non-coding RNA (CANN_LNC006363)
Source: RNAcentral